Molecule: non-coding RNA, 80 nt
Filed under: Elusimicrobiota bacterium
Lineage: Bacteria; Pseudomonadati; Elusimicrobiota
Description: Elusimicrobia bacterium c-di-GMP sequence
Rfam family: c-di-GMP-I-GGC riboswitch aptamer
Source: RNAcentral
GGCGAUAACGGCAAACUUGGCGCAAGCCAGGGGCGCAAAGCCAUGACCCCCGGAGGGCCGGGGGCGUCAGGCUACCGAAC